AUUGAACGCUGGCGGCAGGCUUAACACAUGCAAGUCGAACGGUAGCAGGAGAAAGCUUGCUUUCUUGCUGACGAGUGGCGGACGGGUGAGUAAUGCUUGGGAAUCUGGCUUAUGGAGGGGGAUAACGACGGGAAACUGUCGCUAAUACCGCGUAGUGUCGAGAGACGAAAGUGCGGGACUGAGAGGCCGCAUGCCAUAGGAUGAGCCCAAGUGGGAUUAGGUAGUUGGUGGGGUAAAGGCCUACCAAGCCUGCGAUCUCUAGCUGGUCUGAGAGGAUGACCAGCCACACUGGAACUGAGACACGGUCCAGACUCCUACGGGAGGCAGCAGUGUGGAAUAUUGCGCAAUGGGGGGAACCCUGACGCAGCCAUGCCGCGUGAAUGAAGAAGGCCUUCGGGUUGUAAAGUUCUUUCGGUAUUGAGGAAGGUUGAUGUGUUAAUAGAACAUCAAAUUGACGUUAAAUACAGAAGAAGCACCGGCUAACUCCGUGCCAGCAGCCGCGGUAAUACGGAGGGUGCGAGCGUUAAUCGGAAUAACUGGGCGUAAAGGGCACGCUGGCGGUUAUUUUUAGUGAGGUGUGAAAACCCUGUGCUUACCUAGGAAAUUGUGUUUCUGACUGGGGAACUACAGUCGCUUGGGGGGGGGGGAAAAACUCACCGCGUAGUGGGGCAAAGCAUGGAAAUCCCGGGGGGCCACAUGAGAGUGUCGGUUUCUUCU
Molecule: ribosomal RNA, 717 nt
Filed under: uncultured Haemophilus sp.
Lineage: Bacteria; Pseudomonadati; Pseudomonadota; Gammaproteobacteria; Pasteurellales; Pasteurellaceae
Description: bacterial SSU rRNA
Rfam family: Bacterial small subunit ribosomal RNA
Source: RNAcentral